CCUACGGGAGGCAGCAGUGGGGAAUCUUGGUCAAUGGACGAGAGUCUGAACCAGCCAAGUAGCGUGAAGGAUGACUGUCCUAUGGGUUGUAAACUUCUUUUAUAUGGGAGUAAAAUGUUCAACGUGUGGGAUUCAGUAUGUACCAGAUGAAUACGGAUCGGCUAACUCCGUGCCAGCAGCCGCGGUAAUACGGAGGAUCCGAGCGUUAUCCGGAUUUAUUGGGUGUAAAGGGUGCGCAGGCGGAGGUGCAAGUCAGCGGUCAAAGUGCGGGGCUCAACCCCGUACAGCCGUUGAAACUGCAUCCCUUGAGUGCGCGAGAAGUAUGCGGAAUGCGUGGUGUAGCGGUGAAAGGCAUAGAUAUCACGCAGAACUCCGAUGGCGAAGGCAGCAUACCGGCGCGCAACUGACGCUCAUGCACGAAAGCGUGGGUAUCGAACAGGAUUAGAUACCCCAGUAGUC
RNAcentral lists this ribosomal RNA (459 nucleotides) under uncultured bacterium. RNAcentral describes it as "partial 16S ribosomal RNA". It matches the Rfam family "Bacterial small subunit ribosomal RNA", at positions 338 to 795 of the family's 1533-position model. The record is from RNAcentral.